GACGAACGCUGGCGGCGUGCUUAACACAUGCAAGUCGAACGGAAAGGCCCUGCCUUUGUGCGGUGCUCUAGUUGCGAACGGGUGAGUUACACGUGAGUAACCUGCCCCUGACUUUGGGAUAACUUCAGGAAGCUGGGUCUAAUACCGGAUAGGAGCUCCUGCUGCUUGGUGGGGGCUGGAUAGUUUCGGCGGUUGGGGAUGGACUCGCGGCUUAUCAGCUUGUUGGUUGGGUAGUGGCUUACCAAGGCUUUGACGGGUAGCCGGCCUGAGAGGGUAACCCGCCAAAUUGGGACUGAGAUACGGCACAGACUCCUACGGGAGGCAGGAGUGGGGAAUAGUGCACAAUGGGCGGAAGCCUGAUGCAGCAACGCCGCGUGCGGGAUGACAGCCUUCGGGUUGUAAACCGCAUUCGCCUGUGACGAAGCGUGAGUGACGGUAAUGGGUAAAGAAGCACCGGCUAACUACGUG
Molecule: ribosomal RNA, 468 nt
Filed under: uncultured bacterium
Lineage: Bacteria
Description: partial 16S ribosomal RNA
Rfam family: Bacterial small subunit ribosomal RNA
Source: RNAcentral